RNA transcript from Dermochelys coriacea (leatherback sea turtle), 4103 nucleotides. It is a transcript of the gene named translin associated factor X, with no coding region annotated. The transcript has 8 exons. NCBI's taxonomy places the organism in Eukaryota, Metazoa, Chordata, Testudines, Dermochelyidae. The record is from RefSeq and is a predicted model, not a curated record.
AGCGGGGCUCACGGCGCGGCUAAGCUUGGGGUUAGGCGGGAAGCUCCCGAGACUCGCAGCGGCGACGCGGCAGCGGCUGCCUGGGCCCGGGCGCGCGCGCGCGCGCGAGCGUGAGCGAGCGAGGGGCGGGGCCGCCUCCCCCGCGGGCCGCAGAGAACAUGAGCAGCAAAGAAGGAUCGGGUGGGUUCAGAAAACGAAAGCAUGACAAUUUCCCACAUUGUCAAAGAAAAGAUGAAAAAGACAAUGUUAAUUCGUCUUCAUCUUUGAUGGUGUCUUUUAAGUCAUUUCAACUGGAGCUCGACACAAGACAUGAUAAAUAUGAGAGGCUUGUGAAACUUAGUCGUGAUAUAACUAUUGAAAGUAAAAGGACAAUAUUCCUACUUCACAGAAUUACUAGUGACCCCAAUGGGGAGGAAAUACUAAAUGAAUCUGAGGCCAAAUUAGAAGCUGUCAGACAGAAAAUUAAGCAAGUAGCACAAGAACUGAUAGGAGAGGACAUGUAUCAGUUCCACAGAGCUAUCUCUCCAGGGCUUCAGGAAUAUGUAGAGGCAGUGUCUUUCCAAUAUUUCAUCAAAACACGAUCAUUAAUUAGUGUUAAGGAGAUCAACAAACAGCUAAUGUUUACAAUGGAAGACCAAGAAGAAGAAACAAACACACCCUCCUCCAAUCCAUACGAUAAGCAGCUGUGCACUUGGAGCCUGAAGACUCUGGCCAGCAGGUUGGAAGGAGCUGCAUCAUCCUCCUGAGCCAUGGGCUACGAUGGUCCCAUGAGUUAAUCAUUUCCGUCCUAGCUGACGUCCUUGGUGAAACAUCUCACUGCAGGAGCAUGUCUCUUCCAGCUGCCAGAAGCAGAGAUCUGUUAGGCUCUGAAUGCAGGCAUGAUACUCCCUCCUAUUGCACAAGGCCACUAACUUUUCCAUGUAAUCCUUCCUCUAGACCCACUUCUACCAAGAUGCCAGAGGACAUUACCAACAGAAAUCAAGCUGGGGAUAGUUAAUAAUUUUUAAAACCAAACUAAACCCCUUUGAUUGUAUGUUGUAUCUCAUUCAAUAUUUGUUAUAUCUAUUCAAUUAUUUAAUUAGUGACUUAGAUGACGGAAUGGUGAAUACACUAUAAAAUCUGUGGAUAACUCCAAGCUGGGAGGGGUUGCUAGCACUUUGGAGGACAGGAUUAGAAUUCAGUGUGAUCUUGAGAAAUUGGAGAAUUGGACUGAAAUCAACACGAUGAAAUUAAAUGAAGACGACUGCAAAGUACUACGCUCAGAAAAGAAAAAUCAAAGCACAACUACAAAAUGGGGAAUAACUGGCUAGGAAGGUAGUAUUGCAGAAAAGACUCUGGGGGUUAUAAUGGAUCACAAAUUGAACAGGAGCCAACAACGUGAUGCAGUUAUGAGAAAGGGAAAUAUUCUGGGGUGUAUUAUGUGUUGUAUGUAAGAACUGAGAGGUAAUUGUCCCAAUCUACUCAGCACUGGUGGGGCCUCCACUGGUGCAUUGUAUCCAGUUUUGAGCACAACACUUUAAGAAAUAUAUGGACACAUGGGAGAGAGUCCAGAGGAGAGUAACAAAAAUGAUAAAAGGUUUCGAAAACCUGACUUAGAAGGAAAGGUUAAAAGAACUGGAUAUGUUUAGAGAAGAAAAGGAUGAGAGGGGACAAAGCACCCUUCAAAUAUGUCAAAAGUUGUUAUAAAGAGGAUGGUGAUCAGUUGUUCUCUAUGUCCACAAGGACAGGACAAGAAGUAAUGGGGCUUAAUUUGCAGCAAGGAAGAUUUAGGUUAAAUAUUAGGAAGUUUUCCAAUUCAUAGAGAUAGUUAGGCACUGGAAUAGGUUACAUAGGGAGGUUGGGGAGGUCAUCGGUCUAUCACUGAAGGUUUUUAAGAACAGGUGUAGGUAUACUUAGGCUAUGUCUACACUAUGCCCCUUACAGGGGCACAGCUGUGCCACUACAGCCAUGCCGCUGUAAGGUACGUAGUGUAGCCGAUUUUUGUUGCCGGGAGAGAGCUCUCCUGCCAACAAAAUAAAAAUACUCCCAAUGAGGGGCGGUAGCUUUCUUGUGGGGAGAGAAUUUCCUGCCGAGAAAGCGCUGUCCAAACCAGCGCUUUUCAUUGGUAAAACUUUUGUUGGUCAGGGUGUGGUUUUUUUCACAGCCCUGACCAACAAAAGUUUUAUCAACGAAAGUGCAGUGUAGACAUAGCCUCAAUCCUGUCCCAGCAUGGGGGAUGGAUUAGAUAGCCUCUUGAGGGCCCUCCCAGCCCUACAUUUUAUGAUUCUGAAAAUUGGACUAACUGUGGUGUCAGCUCAAAGUACUGGACAUCAGUUUACUAAUUGUGCUGGGGAUGCAAAGAGCUGGAGGAUGUUUCACUUCUAUUAUUCUGUUUUUAUAAUGAUCUGCAUUACAGCAGUGCCUUUAAGCCCCAACCAGUGUGCUAGGUGCUCUAUAGACACAUAGGGAGAGACAAUUCCUGCUCCAAAGAGUUUGUAGUCUAAAUAUACAAGACAGACAAAAGAAUAGAAGGGGAAAGAGAGGCAUAGAUAGAUGAAGUGACUUGUCCAAGGUCCCACAGCAGGCCAAUGGUAGGGGCAGGUCUCCCAACACUAGACCGCACUGCCUCUAAUCUUAAAAUCCUUUGUACACACACGCCACCAGUAUGUACACAGGAACCAGCUCAGAUCCUUUUGUCGAUAUAUCUAAAUGUAAAUAGUAUUUGUAUGCACCUUUUACCUAAAAUAUUAACAAGCAAAAUUCAAAAGGUAGGUAUAAUACUGUUCAUUUAAAAUAUUUACAGAGAAAUUCAAAUCCGCUUUAAAAAGUGAUACUUGUAUCCACUUUCUUUUGCACUACAUAUUUUCCCAGCCUGUCUUCCCUGUUUUAAUGUGUCUGAAUUUGUGCUGAAAUAAGUACAGCGAAAAUAAUCAGAGAUAUACAUCACCUGCUCACUUUAACAGUAAAGUGAACCUAUAUGAAAUCUCUCCUGUGAAUCCUGCCAAAUGGAUAACAGCAGAACACAUUUCACUCAUAACAUGUAGCAUGAGCAGUCAGACAAGUCAAUGCUACCAUCUUGUGGUGUGAAAUAUUUUCUCUUUUUUUUCCCCGUGCUUUCUCUUCCUUAAGAAUUCCAAUUCUGCUUCUGCCCCUUGUGGCUAUAACUUUAUACACUUGUUGUCUAUCAUGUUUCUCCAUAUAUGUGCAGCAAAAGAUGAGCUUGAAUGUGAACUGAAAGAAUGAUUAUUUUAGGAACUGGGACUCCAGCAUCUCAUGUAUAAUAAAUGUUGCUUAAUGGGUGUGGAGUUUAAUAAAGGAGUUGCUGAGUAAGUUAGACCCCAUUUAUUGUUGUUUAUAUCUAUAAAAAUAGCUCCUCGAUCCCCCAACUGGGGAUGAAGGUCCGAUUGUGCUCAGCAUGGUACAUACACAGAGUAAGAAUUUUCAAAUAUGCCAGAGUUACGUAGGAGAACAAGCCACUCAGGAACACAAGGCUCUGUGUCUGAGAACUUUCAAUUUAUAUUUACAACAACAUAACAGGUGCUAUUUAAUUACCUUAAAAAUUUUGGGGUAUAAUUUGGGUGAAAGACAUACAAAAUUUGCAUUGUUUUGGAAGAGAGGCCUUUGUUAGUUGUGCUGUGAGAGCUACUAUUGUGGCUGUAGCAUUAAAGAAGGGAGGAGGGAGUAAAGGAUGAAUGUUGAUGAUAAAUUAGCUAAAAAUGUUUAAAUUCAGUCUAACAGAUUCUGUACUCUGCAGGUAUUGGUCAAAAAAGCUGCAGAACAUCUGGCAGUAAGCAUUUAGAAAUGAGUGUUGUUUUAGCUGUUGAUGCUCUAUACCAUUGUGUCCAGGCCAUUUUUGGUAAAACAAGGUGAUACAGCUCUGUAAAUUAUGUAUAGAGAAAAUAUUUUACAUGUUAUUCUGCUACCUGCUGUCCAAUAAAAGACAAUGUCCAUGAAGAGCUUAAUUUUUAGGAUUUAACCUUGAAAACACUUAAGUGAGCAGUCUUUGCUUGCAUGAUGCCAUUUGAAGUCACUGCUUUCAUACAUAAGGAUUACGUGUACUAAUAAGUGUUUGCAGAAUUGAACCCUAAAUUACCUUCAUUUACAUUAUGAGCAUGUUACCUGUG